RNAcentral lists this ribosomal RNA (72 nucleotides) under Parazoanthus axinellae. Its description in RNAcentral is "partial 28S ribosomal RNA". It matches the Rfam family "Eukaryotic large subunit ribosomal RNA", at positions 1 to 69 of the family's 3401-position model. The record is from RNAcentral. Lineage: Eukaryota; Metazoa; Cnidaria; Anthozoa; Zoantharia; Parazoanthidae.
UCUUGACCUCAGAUCAGGCAAGGCUACCCGCUGAAUUUAAGCAUAUCAAUAAGCGGAGGAAAAGAAACUAAC